Molecule: long non-coding RNA, 327 nt
Filed under: Elaeis guineensis (African oil palm)
Lineage: Eukaryota; Viridiplantae; Streptophyta; Magnoliopsida; Arecales; Arecaceae
Description: long non-coding RNA (EGUI_LNC045976)
Source: RNAcentral
CUACAUAAGGGCUGCCUCCGAUGACCAUAGGUUUGAGUCCUCUAGUGCGACGAAGAAUUUUCAAUACCUCCUAAGCCAAGCUGAGGCCCGCAUAAUGGCAUCCUUCUCCUGAAUGACUGGUGGCAGCCCGACCAAAGGAAUUGGCUCCCCCGAUCGAGAAGGAGACAUCCGCUACUUGCCAAUAGUGGGAGGAAUCACUCCACUGUGCUAUGAAAAACUAGAGGUGGAUCUCCAUCCCAAGACAGUGAAGUGACCUCUCUAUAAAAGGGGCUGGGAUCAAGUGCUCCCCAAUGACUCUUAUUGACUAGUGAUAGAUGUUAGCAAGGG